UACGGGGGGGGCAAGCGUUGUUCGGAAUUACUGGGCGUAAAGGGCUCGUAGGCGGCCAACUAAGUCAGACGUGAAAUCCCCAGGCUUAACCUGUGAACUGCGUCUGAUACUGGAUGGCUUGAAUUCGGGAGAGGGAGGCAGAAUUCCAGGUGUAGCGGUGAAAUGCAUAGAUAUCUGGAGGAAUACCGGUGGCGAAGGCGGCAACCUGGACCGACAUUGACGCUGAUGAGCGAAAGCUAGGGGAGCAAACGGG
This 253-nucleotide ribosomal RNA is filed under the name uncultured bacterium. RNAcentral describes it as "partial 16S ribosomal RNA". It matches the Rfam family "Bacterial small subunit ribosomal RNA", at positions 524 to 776 of the family's 1533-position model. The record is from RNAcentral.